This 22-nucleotide microRNA is filed under the name Pristionchus pacificus. RNAcentral's name for it is "ppc-miR-8349-5p". Lineage: Eukaryota; Metazoa; Nematoda; Chromadorea; Rhabditida; Neodiplogasteridae. The record is from miRBase by way of RNAcentral.
UUUUGAUUGCACGAUAACGUCA